GAGCAAGCCUGUAACAAGUUCCUCCGUGGGCUCUGCAUUGGUUCCUGCCUCUAGGAACCUCCUGCCCUGACUUCUCUGGAUGAUGGACUACAAGUUCAGUAGCCGCCGCCGCUGCAGCAGCAGCAGUCGGAGCAGCCUCAGCAGCCGCAGCAGUGACACCAGCACCAGCAGUGACACCAGCAGUGACACCAGCACCAGCACUAGCACCAGCACCAGCACCAGCCACAGCAACAACAGCAGCAGCAACAGCAGCAGAAAACCUAGUAACAAAGGCAGCAGCAGCCUCUCGAGCAGCAGCAGCAACAGCAGCAGCAAACCUAGUGACACAGACAGCAACAGCAGCAGCAUCUCUUGCAGCAGCAACAGCCCUAGUAACACAGACAGCAGCAGCCUCUCUAGCAGCAGCAGCAACAGCAGCAGACCUAGUAACACAGGCAGCAGCAGCCUCUCUAGCAGCAGCAGCAACAGCAGCAGACCUAGUAACACAGGCAGCAGUAGCAGCAGCAGCAGCAACAGCAGCAACAUCAGCAACAGCAGCAUCAGACCUAGUAACAGGGGCAGCAUCAGCAACUAUGACAACAGCAGCAACAGCAGCAGUCCCCAACCCUCUAGUGGCAACAUCAGCAACAGAAGACCUAGUAACACAGGCAGCAGCAGCAACCAGGUUAACAGCGGCCCCAGACCUGGUAACACAGUCAACAUCAGCAACUAUAGCAACAGUGGCCCCAGACCCAGUAACACCACCACCAGCAGCAACAGCCAAAGCAACAGCAGCCCCAGACCUAGUAACAGGGGCAGCAUCAGCAACUACAGCAACAGCAGCCUCAGACCUAGUAACAGGGGCAACAUCAGCAACUAUGACAACAGCAGCACCAGACCUAGUAACAGGGCCAACAUCAGCAACUAUGGCAACAGCAGCAAUAGCAGCAGUCCCCAACCCUCUAGCAGCAAAAUCAGCAACAGAAGACCUAGUAACACAGGCAGCAGCAGCAACCAGGUUAACAGCGGCCCCAGACCUGGAAACACAGUCAACAUCAGCAACUAUAGCAACAGUGGCCCCAGACCCAGUAACACCACCAGCAGCAGCAACAGCCAAAGCAACAGCAGCCCCAGAUCUAGUAACACAGACAGCAGCAGCAGCCCUGGCAACAGCCACACCAGUAGCAGCAGCAGCAGCAGCAGCAGCAGCAGCAGCAGCAGUAGCAGCAGCCGCGGCAACAGUGGCCCCAGACCCAGUAAAACAGGCAGCAUAAGCAGCCAAAGCAACAGCGGCCCCAGAUCUAGUAACACAGACAGCAGCAGCAGCAGCAGCCCCGGCAAUAUCAAAACCAGCAGCAGCAGCAGCAGCAGUAACAGCAGCAGCAGCAGCCACAGCAGCUACAGCUGCAGCAGCAGCAGCCACAGCAGCAGCAGCAGCCGCAGCCAUAGCAGCAGCCACAGUCACAGCAGCCACAGUCGCACACCAUGGGAAUGAUUUCCUAAGGGUAUACUGCUGAGUUCCUUCAGUCUUUCAGGCCACAUGUACUUCGUAAAAGAUUCCUGUCUGAGCAUCUUCCCCAGUGGCCUGUGAGGAUGAGCUCAUCCUUUGAACUUGGCAGGCGAGAAGCGUUCCGAUUUGGUUCAGCACAAGCACAGAAAGGUGAUUGUUAAGUAGAAAUUAUCCAGUCAGCAAUCAGACAGAGUCAGUCCUUUCUUCCCCAGAAGAUGCUGGCCAACUUCUGGAGAAGUUUCUGCUGGUGGGUUUGCCUAGGCCCAUAUUUCCUGGCUUUCAACAGAGGCUCUGAGAUUUGGUUAGCUUUGAGAGCUUCUAUGGAGGAAAGGGGGGCCCAAGAGACAUAGACUAAUGCAAAAACAGAAAUGUAGGAUGAAGGAAACCAAAUCAGACCAGUUACUAGAGUUCAAGGAAUGGAGAAGCAAGGUUUAGAGGGGAAGGAGUUGGCCGGCAGCUGGGAUGAGGGUGUGCCUGUCCUGCUGUUAUUAGGUGGGUGUGGGGACCAAGCAAAUGACAAUUAAAGCCGUGGGCCAGUUCUACACAGGAACUAGAACAAGAAAGCAAACAGCUGGGCAGUUAUGGGGCUGGAUGCUCAGGGAAAGGGGCCUAGGGUUUAAGCCAAACCAAACCCCAAACAAACACCCAUUGAAUUGGAUCGAUAUCAAAGCUUUUCCUGUACAUUUUUUUAUUAUUGUUUGUUUAUUUCAAUAAAGAUUUCUUUAUUUUUA
This 2220-nucleotide long non-coding RNA is filed under the name Mus musculus (house mouse). RNAcentral's name for it is "DNA segment, Chr 6, ERATO Doi 527, expressed (D6Ertd527e)". Lineage: Eukaryota; Metazoa; Chordata; Mammalia; Rodentia; Muridae. The record is from RNAcentral.